This 1084-nucleotide long non-coding RNA is filed under the name Calidris pygmaea (Spoon-billed sandpiper). RNAcentral's name for it is "lncRNA (ENSCPGG00000000350.1)". The record is from RNAcentral. Lineage: Eukaryota; Metazoa; Chordata; Aves; Charadriiformes; Scolopacidae.
GCCAGGAGCAGGGGGGUGACCAGGGAGCGGUGGCUUCUCCACACCCCACAGUGACGGGGACAGAGCCUGGCAGUGUCCCCCUCUUCCCCAGCUCCGGACCCCCCACGGCAAAUCCACCAGGGACGGGGUGACACCACGGCUCAGCUCCACCUCGGAGUGUCACCUGCCCCGGCCCCACCACGCAGGGGGACUCAGGGAUGGGGCGUCACAGCCGGCAAAGUGUCACCUUCCUUGCUGUCACCUCCCCUGUCACCCUGCUUGUCGGGGCUGCGGGGCGGAGAUGGGGCCAUGGGGUGGAGAUGUGGCUUCAAGAUGGAGAUGGGGACAUGGGGUGGAGACUGGGACAGGGGAUGGAGACGAUGGUGGGAUGGAGAUGGGGACAUGGGGUGAAGAAGAUGGUGGGAUGGAGAUGGGGACAUGGGGCAGAGUUGGGGACGUGAGAUGGAGAUGGGAACAUGGGGUGGAGACUGGGACACGGGACGGAGAUGGGGACAUGGGAUGGAGACGAUGGUGGGCUGGAGAUGGGGACAUGAGAUGGAGAUGGGGACACGGGAUGGAGAUGGGGACACGGGAUGGAGACGGGGACAUGGGGUUGAGAGAGGGCCAUGGGCUGGAGAAGGGACGCGUGUGCUGCCAUCAGGGGAUGGUGCCAUCUCAGCUGGGGUUGAGGUGCCACCAGGGAGGAGCCGGGUUGCCACACCGCGUCUCUGGUAGCCCUUUUCCCCAGCUGUCCCCAGGUUUGUGGCAGCCCCGUGCCCUGGGUGGCAAUCCACGGUGGCACUCUUGUCGUGCCACCCUCGGGGACACCCUUGGGGACACCAGCACCCUGAAAACCUCCCGAUGUCUCUCCCAAGCGCCAAACGAAGCCCGGAGGGACCGACACCACGACCUCCUCCUGCCACCGGCAACAAUGACACGGCUACGGGGCCACCACCGAUGCCACCGAGGAUGUCACCGUUGGCCGACAGUGUCCGUACGGAGCCGGAGGACGGUUCCAGCACCGGCUCUUCCCGACGGAUCCCGUGGUUCUGGUGGAACCUGGUGUUUGCCAGUGGCACCCGGUGUCCCAGAGGUGGCCCUGGCC